Molecule: non-coding RNA, 201 nt
Organism: Paramuricea clavata
Lineage: Eukaryota; Metazoa; Cnidaria; Anthozoa; Malacalcyonacea; Plexauridae
Source: the annotation of a GenBank genome assembly
CCACUUCUCACUUUCAUUUUGCAAAAAUUCAUUGACUAUUUGAUAACAAAUAAAGCUUUUGGAUGUCGGCACAGACACAACCAAUGCACAAUCAUGAUGCAGGGCAAAGUUAAACAAUUCUGCUUCGUGGUGGGGCCUUUUCAACGCAAUAACAGGCAUCCCUAGCGGGCCUAUCCUGCCCUUUGCUGCCGCCAUUUUUUG